GAUGAACGCUAGCGGCAGGCUUAAUACAUGCAAGUCGAGGGGCAGCACGGUUAGCAAUAACUGGUGGCGACCGGCGCACGGGUGCGUAACACGUAUACAAUCUACCUUAAACAGGGGGAUAGCCUUUCGAAAGAGAGAUUAAUACCCCGUAAUAAAUUGAACGGCAUCGUUUGAUUUUGAAAGCUCCGGCGGUUUGAGAUGAGUAUGCGUCUGAUUAGCUAGUUGGUGAGGUAACGGCUCACCAAGGCGACGAUCAGUAGGGGAUCUGAGAGGACUAACCCCCCACACUGGUACUGAGACACGGACCAGACUCCUACGGGAGGCAGCAGUAAGGAAUAUUGGUCAAUGGGAGGCAACUCUGAACCAGCCAUGCCGCGUGCAGGAUGACGGCCCUAUGGGUUGUAAACUGCUUUUAUACAAGAGAAAACCCUGGUACGUGUACCAGGUUGAUAGUAUUGUAAGAAUAAGCAUCGGCUAACUUCGUGCCAGCAGCCGCGGUAAU
RNAcentral lists this ribosomal RNA (502 nucleotides) under uncultured bacterium. RNAcentral's name for it is "bacterial SSU rRNA". It matches the Rfam family "Bacterial small subunit ribosomal RNA", at positions 28 to 524 of the family's 1533-position model. The record is from RNAcentral.